RNAcentral lists this ribosomal RNA (2902 nucleotides) under Escherichia coli 1827-70. RNAcentral's name for it is "23S ribosomal RNA". The record is from RNAcentral. Lineage: Bacteria; Pseudomonadati; Pseudomonadota; Gammaproteobacteria; Enterobacterales; Enterobacteriaceae.
AAGGUUAAGCCUCACGGUUCAUUAGUACCGGUUAGCUCAACGCAUCGCUGCGCUUACACACCCGGCCUAUCAACGUCGUCGUCUUCAACGUUCCUUCAGGACUCUCAAGGAGUCAGGGAGAACUCAUCUCGGGGCAAGUUUCGUGCUUAGAUGCUUUCAGCACUUAUCUCUUCCGCAUUUAGCUACCGGGCAGUGCCAUUGGCAUGACAACCCGAACACCAGUGAUGCGUCCACUCCGGUCCUCUCGUACUAGGAGCAGCCCCCCUCAGUUCUCCAGCGCCCACGGCAGAUAGGGACCGAACUGUCUCACGACGUUCUAAACCCAGCUCGCGUACCACUUUAAAUGGCGAACAGCCAUACCCUUGGGACCUACUUCAGCCCCAGGAUGUGAUGAGCCGACAUCGAGGUGCCAAACACCGCCGUCGAUAUGAACUCUUGGGCGGUAUCAGCCUGUUAUCCCCGGAGUACCUUUUAUCCGUUGAGCGAUGGCCCUUCCAUUCAGAACCACCGGAUCACUAUGACCUGCUUUCGCACCUGCUCGCGCCGUCACGCUCGCAGUCAAGCUGGCUUAUGCCAUUGCACUAACCUCCUGAUGUCCGACCAGGAUUAGCCAACCUUCGUGCUCCUCCGUUACUCUUUAGGAGGAGACCGCCCCAGUCAAACUACCCACCAGACACUGUCCGCAACCCGGAUUACGGGUCAACGUUAGAACAUCAAACAUUAAAGGGUGGUAUUUCAAGGUCGGCUCCAUGCAGACUGGCGUCCACACUUCAAAGCCUCCCACCUAUCCUACACAUCAAGGCUCAAUGUUCAGUGUCAAGCUAUAGUAAAGGUUCACGGGGUCUUUCCGUCUUGCCGCGGGUACACUGCAUCUUCACAGCGAGUUCAAUUUCACUGAGUCUCGGGUGGAGACAGCCUGGCCAUCAUUACGCCAUUCGUGCAGGUCGGAACUUACCCGACAAGGAAUUUCGCUACCUUAGGACCGUUAUAGUUACGGCCGCCGUUUACCGGGGCUUCGAUCAAGAGCUUCGCGUUACCGCUAACCCCAUCAAUUAACCUUCCGGCACCGGGCAGGCGUCACACCGUAUACGUCCACUUUCGUGUUUGCACAGUGCUGUGUUUUUAAUAAACAGUUGCAGCCAGCUGGUAUCUUCGACUGAUUUCAGCUCCACGAGCAAGUCGCUUCACCUACAUAUCAGCGUGCCUUCUCCCGAAGUUACGGCACCAUUUUGCCUAGUUCCUUCACCCGAGUUCUCUCAAGCGCCUUGGUAUUCUCUACCUGACCACCUGUGUCGGUUUGGGGUACGAUUUGAUGUUACCUGAUGCUUAGAGGCUUUUCCUGGAAGCAGGGCAUUUGUUGCUUCAGCACCGUAGUGCCUCGUCAUCACGCCUCAGCCUUGAUUUUCCGGAUUUGCCUGGAAAACCAGCCUACACGCUUAAACCGGGACAACCGUCGCCCGGCCAACAUAGCCUUCUCCGUCCCCCUUCGCAGUAACACCAAGUACAGGAAUAUUAACCUGUUUCCCAUCGACUACGCCUUUCGGCCUCGCCUUAGGGGUCGACUCACCCUGCCCCGAUUAACGUUGGACAGGAACCCUUGGUCUUCCGGCGAGCGGGCUUUUCACCCGCUUUAUCGUUACUUAUGUCAGCAUUCGCACUUCUGAUACCUCCAGCAUACCUCACAGUACACCUUCACAGGCUUACAGAACGCUCCCCUACCCAACAACGCAUAAGCGUCGCUGCCGCAGCUUCGGUGCAUGGUUUAGCCCCGUUACAUCUUCCGCGCAGGCCGACUCGACCAGUGAGCUAUUACGCUUUCUUUAAAUGAUGGCUGCUUCUAAGCCAACAUCCUGGCUGUCUGGGCCUUCCCACAUCGUUUCCCACUUAACCAUGACUUUGGGACCUUAGCUGGCGGUCUGGGUUGUUUCCCUCUUCACGACGGACGUUAGCACCCGCCGUGUGUCUCCCGUGAUAACAUUCUCCGGUAUUCGCAGUUUGCAUCGGGUUGGUAAGUCGGGAUGACCCCCUUGCCGAAACAGUGCUCUACCCCCGGAGAUGAAUUCACGAGGCGCUACCUAAAUAGCUUUCGGGGAGAACCAGCUAUCUCCCGGUUUGAUUGGCCUUUCACCCCCAGCCACAAGUCAUCCGCUAAUUUUUCAACAUUAGUCGGUUCGGUCCUCCAGUUAGUGUUACCCAACCUUCAACCUGCCCAUGGCUAGAUCACCGGGUUUCGGGUCUAUACCCUGCAACUUAACGCCCAGUUAAGACUCGGUUUCCCUUCGGCUCCCCUAUUCGGUUAACCUUGCUACAGAAUAUAAGUCGCUGACCCAUUAUACAAAAGGUACGCAGUCACCCCAUAAAGAGGCUCCCACUGCUUGUACGUACACGGUUUCAGGUUCUUUUUCACUCCCCUCGCCGGGGUUCUUUUCGCCUUUCCCUCACGGUACUGGUUCACUAUCGGUCAGUCAGGAGUAUUUAGCCUUGGAGGAUGGUCCCCCCAUAUUCAGACAGGAUACCACGUGUCCCGCCCUACUCAUCGAGCUCACAGCAUGUGCAUUUUUGUGUACGGGGCUGUCACCCUGUAUCGCGCGCCUUUCCAGACGCUUCCACUAACACACACACUGAUUCAGGCUCUGGGCUGCUCCCCGUUCGCUCGCCGCUACUGGGGGAAUCUCGGUUGAUUUCUUUUCCUCGGGGUACUUAGAUGUUUCAGUUCCCCCGGUUCGCCUCAUUAACCUAUGGAUUCAGUUAAUGAUAGUGUGUCGAAACACACUGGGUUUCCCCAUUCGGAAAUCGCCGGUUAUAACGGUUCAUAUCACCUUACCGACGCUUAUCGCAGAUUAGCACGUCCUUCAUCGCCUCUGACUGCCAGGGCAUCCACCGUGUACGCUUAGUCGCUUAA